This is a long non-coding RNA of Mytilus californianus (California mussel), 1975 nucleotides long. RefSeq lists it as uncharacterized. NCBI's taxonomy places the organism in Eukaryota, Metazoa, Mollusca, Bivalvia, Mytilida, Mytilidae. The transcript is spliced from 2 exons. The record is from RefSeq and is a predicted model, not a curated record.
GAGGUUUUUAUACGACCGCAAAAAUUGAAAAUUUUUUGGUCGUAUAUUGGUAUGACGUUGGCGUCGUCGUCGUCGUCGUCGUCGUCGUCUGGCGUCGUCCGAAGACACAUUGGUUUUCGCACUCUAACUUUAGUUUAAGUGAAUGGAUCUCCAUGAAAUUUUACCAUAAGGUUCAAUACCAUAAAAGGAAGGUUGGGAUUGAUUUUGGGGGUUAUGGUACCAACAGUUAAGGAAUAAGGGGCCAAAAAGGGGCCAACAAUAAGCAUUUUUGUAACUUCCAGACAAUAACUUGUGUGUAAGUGUAUGGAUCUCUCUGACAUUGUACCACAAGGUUCCAUAUCACAAAGGGAAGGCUGUAAUUGAUUUUGGGGGUAAUUGCCUCAAAAUGUUAGGAAUUAGGGGCCAUUAAAGGGGCAAAAAACAAGCAUUUUUCUAGUUUCAUGACAAUAACUUGUGUGUAAGUGUUUGGAUAUUUCUGAAAUUGUACUACAAGGUUCCAUAUUACAAAGGGAAAGCUGGAAUUGAGUUUGGGGGUAAUUGCCCGAAACGUUUAGGAAUUGGGGGCCAAAAAGGGGCCAAAAAUAAGCAUUUUUCUAGUUUCCAGACAAUAACUUGUGUUCAAGUGUAUGGAUCUCUCUGAAAUUGUACUGCAAGGUACCAUACCACAAAGGGAAGGCUGAGAUUGAGUUUGGGGUGAUGAAUCAUAAGGGGGUUCAAAAAAUUUGGGGGGGGAUUUUUUUUUUUCUUUUUUUUUUCUUUUUUUCCUUUUUUUUUCUUUUAAAAUUUUCCAUUUUAAGUUGGUUAUUUCUGAUUUAUAUUUAAAAGCAAAUAAUAAUGAUAUGGUAGGAGAUACACACCAAACAGGAUGUGUAAAUUAUUAUAUAAUAAGUAUUGUGCAAUAGCAAGAAAUUUUCAAUUGCACAGUAUUGCACAAUAGCAAGAAAUCUUCAAUUGCACAGUAUUGCGCAAUAGCAAGAAAUCUUCAAUUGCACAGUAUUGCGCAAUAGCAAGAAAUAUCCAAUAGCACAAUAUUGCGCAAUAGCAAGAAAUUGUCAAUUGUACAGUAUUGCGCAAUAGCAAGAAAUAAUCAAUUGCACAGUAUUGUGCAAAAGAAGGUACUUCGUAUAAAUUGCUUAUUUCUUGAUCAAUUUCAAUGGGGUUUUAUUCUUGAAUUCUUGGGGUUCUUUAAUAUGCUGAAUCUAACCGUGUAUUAAGUUUUUGGAUUUUGGGCCCCGUUUUUAAAUUGGUCCACAUUGAGGUCCAAAGGGUCCAAAAUUGAACUUUGUUUGAUUUCAUCAAAAAUUGAAUUAUUGGGGUUCUUUGAUAUGCCGAAUCUAACCGUGUAUUUAGAUUCUUAAUUUUUGGUUCUGUUUUCAAAUUGGUCUACAUAAAGGUCCAAAGGGUCCAAAAUUAAACUUAGUUUGAUUUUAACAAAAAUUGAAUUUUUAGGGUUCUUUGAUAUGCUGAAUCUAAACAUGUAUUUAGAUUUUUGAUUAUGGGCCCAGUUUUCAAGUUGGUCCAAAUCGGGGUCCAAAAUUAAACUUUGUUUGAUUUCAACAAAAAUUGAAUAUAUGGGGUUCUUUGAUAUGCUGAAUCUAACCAUGUAUUUAGAUUUUUGAUUUUUGGGCCCUGUUAUCAUUUUUGUCCACAUUGAGAUCAAAAGGGUCCAAAAUUAAACUUUUGUUUGAUUUCAUCAAAAAUUGAAUUCUUGGGGUUCUUUGAUAUGCUGAAUCUAACCAUGUAUUUAGAUUUUGGAUAUUGGACCAUAAUAGGUGAAUGUCCAAUUUAAAAUUUUUAAGUUCUUAGACCACAUUCAUUCUGUGUCAGAAACCUAUGCUGUGUCAAAUAUUUAAUCACAAUCCAAAUUCAGAGCUGUAUCAAGCUUGAAUGUUGUGUCCAUACUUGCCCCAACUGUUCAGGGUUCGACCUCUGCGGUCGUAUCAAGCUGCGCCCUGCGGAGCAUUUUAUUCACAAU